RNAcentral lists this ribosomal RNA (253 nucleotides) under uncultured bacterium. Its description in RNAcentral is "partial 16S ribosomal RNA". It matches the Rfam family "Bacterial small subunit ribosomal RNA", at positions 524 to 776 of the family's 1533-position model. The record is from RNAcentral.
UACGUAGGGUGCGAGCGUUGUCCGGAAUUAUUGGGCGUAAAGGGCUCGUAGGCGGUCUGUCACGUCGGGAGUGAAAACUCGGGGCUUAACUCCGAGCCUGCUUCUGAUACGGGCAGACUAGAGGUAUGCAGGGGAGAAUGGAAUUCCUGGUGUAGCGGUGAAAUGCGCAGAUAUCAGGAGGAACACCGGUGGCGAAGGCGGUUCUCUGGGCAUGACCUGACGCUGAGGCACGAAGGUCAGGGGAGCAAACGGG